CUCUUAGCCAGCAUACCUGGUGCGGCACUUCUUAGAUGUAUCUUUUUUGUAUGUAUAUUUAUUUAAUCACUAUAAAACUUUUUUGUAUAACCAGGUCAUAAGAUUUUAGUGCAUGAAUUCUGUUUUCUACUAGCAGUCUAGCACCAUGAUAUAUGUGUUUCUGUGAAAGUACAUAGUACAUUUUUUUUAAAAAAACAUCUGUAGUACUUUCUGCUCCUUCCUCUCCUCUCCGGAUGGUAUAUUGGAUUUAUGCAGGUUGUGUUAGCAAAUGAAGAUCAAAUUGUUUAAUCUGUGAUUUUGCAGUCAGCCUGCGCUUUUGCUUAAGUAUUUGUGAUUUUUGUUUGAUUGUCAGAUCUUUUGUUGAUGGAUUGGCAUAUAUGGGUGUAGAUUUGGGGCUCUCCGUGUCAAUUUGGGGCUCUGUGAUCUGCAAAACAUUGGUUUGAGUACAAAGAUAGGUGAGGAAAGUUCAGAACAGCAGGAUCACCAGUCACAUAAUCUGAGCUGAGAGUGAGCAUGUGGAGCAAGUUGUCUUUCUCCUUUGCCUGAGACAUUAAGCAGAGACUUUAUGAAACUGAUUCCAAGCCUGAGGGCCUUGGCCUCGAGCUUCUCCACGAGGACACCGGGGGAUGCCGUGGUUGACGGCCUUGAAGAAGCUGAGCCUGUUGCAGGCGCUGGCCACGGCACUCGCGGAGCCCGACGAGGACAGGUCCACGAUGGGGACGAUGGCUUUUGUCGAGAUGGUCGUCUUGAUGGAAACGUUGGGCC
Setaria italica (foxtail millet) is the source of this 765-nucleotide long non-coding RNA. RefSeq lists it as uncharacterized. The transcript has 3 exons. Lineage: Eukaryota; Viridiplantae; Streptophyta; Magnoliopsida; Poales; Poaceae. The record is from RefSeq and is a predicted model, not a curated record.